Long non-coding RNA from Oxyura jamaicensis (ruddy duck), 148 nucleotides. RefSeq lists it as uncharacterized. NCBI's taxonomy places the organism in Eukaryota, Metazoa, Chordata, Aves, Anseriformes, Anatidae. The transcript is spliced from 3 exons. The record is from RefSeq and is a predicted model, not a curated record.
UGUUAGGAAGGUAAGUGAUGCAAGCACCAGGUGGCCAAUGAGAGAAAUGUCAGGGCUGGGGGGGUGAGGAGCAAGGUUGUCCACGCAGUGUCAGACCUCAAGAGUCUGCUUUUCCUCCCAUAUUUUUGAUGUGCAGGGAUGGGAUAAG